UCUGUAUGUUCAUCUUGCUGAGGGAUCAUUACCGAGUUUACAACUCCCAAACCCCAUUGUGAACGUUACCAAACUGUUGCCUCGGCGGGAUUUCUGCCCCGGGCGCGUCGCAGCCCCGGACCAAGGCGCCCGCCGGAGGACCAAUUUACAAACUCUUUUGUAUAUCCCAUCGCGGAUUCUUUACAUUCUGAGCUUUCUCGGCGCUCCUAGCGAGCGUUUCGAAAAUGAAUCAAAACUUUCAACAACGGAUCUCUUGGUUCUGGCAUCGAUGAAGAACGCAGCGAAAUGCGAUAAGUAAUGUGAAUUGCAGAAUUCAGUGAAUCAUCGAAUCUUUGAACGCACAUUGCGCCCGCCAGUAUUCUGGCGGGCAUGCCUGUCCGAGCGUCAUUUCAACCCUCGAACCCCUCCGGGGGGUCGGCGUUGGGGAUCGGCACUUACCUGCCGGCCCCGAAAUACAGUGGCGGUCUCGCCGCAGCCUCUCCUGCGCAGUAGUUUGCACACUCGCACCGGGAGCGCGGCGCGUCCACGGCCGUAAAACAACCCAAACUUCUGAAAUGUUGACCUCGGAUCAGGUAGGAAUACCCGCUGAACU
Molecule: ribosomal RNA, 592 nt
Filed under: Trichoderma brevicompactum
Lineage: Eukaryota; Fungi; Ascomycota; Sordariomycetes; Hypocreales; Hypocreaceae
Description: eukaryotic LSU rRNA
Rfam family: 5.8S ribosomal RNA (bases 234-387)
Source: RNAcentral